CCAUCCAUGUUGUCGCAAAUGUGAUAUCUGGAAGCCAUGUCAGAAAAAUACCAAAAAUAGAGGAAGAACAAGAAGAUUUACUUGAUUAAAAAAGUGGCUGAAAGACAAGUUCAGAGAGGGAUUCAGGAACAUGAGAGAAUUUGAAAAAUAUGAUCCAGAAAAAAUAGGCAAGAGAGAUGGACAAGUUAAGAGAACAUGUCAUUAGUCAACAAGAAUUUCAAUCGGCCAUUGAAAGCAGAUAACAGAUUUACAUAUAUGCUUUCUCAGUAAAGUACUGUGCAUGAUGGAAUCUUUGGUGAUUUCACUUCUACACUGCACAUAGUGGAUCAAUUUUUUUUUUCAUGUUAAAAUAACAACGAAAAGUUGCUUUCACUUAAGUUCACAAAAGAAAACUACAUAAACGAGUGGAUCUUAGGUGAGAAACUUUAGAUAUUUUCCUACCCAGUAAAAAAAACUACCAAUGAUAAGUUCCUGGAUUUCCAAUGAUAAUAUUCAGAGUGAACCACUUUAUUUAUUCCUCUGUACCCGUACAUCUUGUAAUCAAAUAAGUCAUGUCCCUAAUUCUAUUUAUUAUGAAUGAGUUCAUCAUCAUCCCUGAUGUGAGAAGAGGCUUUUAUUUCUGCUUAGUGACCAUGAAAAUUUCUAAGCCACCAGGUGGCAGAGUGCCCUUGGCUUAGAUUGAAUAUUGCAUUUUUCCCACUGAUUGCCAAACGUAGCCUAUAGCUAAUGUGAGUGGCUUUCAAACCUUUGGCUCAUGUGACCCUAAAAUAAUUCUGAAAACAUAGGCAUGCCCCCCAAACUUUCAACUUUAUGUGUAAAAUUAUUCAACAAAAGUUUACGUAACAGAAGAGAUGUAAUUUCUGGCAUAGUGGGAAGAGUGAAAUUUUAAAAUAAAAUUAUUAUAUCGCUCUUAAAUGAAUCUAAUUGAAUGCAAAAUACCACAGGGAUUUGAUAGCCACCAUCAUCUAUUUUAAAAAUUUCAAGACAAGCUCAUCUUUUAUAGUUGGAUACUUUACAUUUCUCCUUUGUUUUCUGUGACAUCUUACUUUCCAUUUUAUUUUCUCUGUAGAAUGUUAUACUAUUGUAAGUGUUUUAGGGUUAAAAGCUUUGACCAUAUUCUUCUUCUUCUCUGCAACAAGAGUAUGUGCAUACACGAAACGAGGUGUUUUGUAUUUCCUGUGACUGUAAGGUUCUAUGUGUCACAUUUUUAUAUUUCUGAAUUUCUAAUAUAUGUUAGUAUAUAUUUCUAAAAUUUCCCCGGUAUACAUUUAUUUUUCAUGAAUUUGAAAAAUCCU
Molecule: long non-coding RNA, 1295 nt
Organism: Panthera uncia (snow leopard)
Lineage: Eukaryota; Metazoa; Chordata; Mammalia; Carnivora; Felidae
Exons: 3
Source: RefSeq, a predicted model, not a curated record